This 430-nucleotide ribosomal RNA is filed under the name uncultured archaeon. RNAcentral's name for it is "bacterial SSU rRNA". It matches the Rfam family "Archaeal small subunit ribosomal RNA", at positions 474 to 903 of the family's 1478-position model. The record is from RNAcentral.
AACCAGCUCUUCAAGUGGUCGGGAUAAUUAUUGGGCUUAAAGUGUCCGUAGCCGGUUUAGUAAGUUCCUGGUAAAAUCGGGUAGCUUAACUAUCUAUAUGCUAGGAAUACUACUAUACUAGAGGGCGGGAGAGGUCUGAGGUACUACAGGGGUAGGGGUGAAAUCUUAUAAUCAUUGUAGGACCACCAGUGGCGAAGGCGUCAGACUGGAACGCGCCUGACGGUGAGGGACGAAAGCCAGGGGAGCGAACCGGAUUAGAUACCCGGGUAGUCCUGGCUGUAAACGAUGCAUACUAGGUGAUGGUACGGCCAUGAGCCGUAUCAGUGCCGUAGGGAAACCGUUAAGUGUGCCGCCUGGGAAGUACGGUCGCAAGGCUAAAACUUAAAGGAAUUGGGCGGGGGAGCACCACAAGGGGUGAAGCCUGCGGUUC